AAGUACCGUCAAAUCACUACACGUAGCGACUAUUCUUCCGUCAGAAAAGCAGUUUACAACCCAUAGGGCCGUCUUCCUGCACGCGGGAUGGCUGGUUCAGGCUUGCGCCCAU
Molecule: ribosomal RNA, 112 nt
Filed under: uncultured bacterium
Lineage: Bacteria
Description: partial 16S ribosomal RNA
Source: RNAcentral